CCGAAAGAGGCCUCCAUCGGUCUUUCAACCUUGCCUAUCGUACCUUUUUGUUGUUCCCUCGGCGGGGUAAAGCCCGCCGCGGGAAGCUCGGAAAACCCUUUGCAAUCAGCAUCCAAAAACUCUGAUUACAAAACCGUUAAAUCGUUAC
RNAcentral lists this unclassified non-coding RNA (148 nucleotides) under soil metagenome. RNAcentral describes it as "partial internal transcribed spacer 1". The record is from RNAcentral.